Oncorhynchus tshawytscha (Chinook salmon) is the source of this 2440-nucleotide long non-coding RNA. The record is from Ensembl. Lineage: Eukaryota; Metazoa; Chordata; Actinopteri; Salmoniformes; Salmonidae.
GUGUGUGUGUGUGUGUGUGUGUGUGUGUGUGUGUGUGUGUGUGUGUGUGUGUGUGUGCGUGUGCGCGCUUGUUUGUCAGUGAGUGGAUGGUGUGUCAAGGAGUGCUUGGUGCCUCUCCCUGUAUGGUGUACGAGCAUAAUAAUGGUAUAUGUGCAUAAUUAGGUGAUAGUGUUAGUCUCUGUGGAGUACACAGGCCUGAAGUGUUAUGGAUGUGAGAUGUAUGUGUGUUUUAGAACUUCCUCUCCUAUGAGUCACACAGCUCUGGAAGCAGUGAGAGCACAAUCCAUGAAAUGAUGCUUUUAUAGCCGGGGAUUUAAAGUUCAUUUCAAUCAGGGAUUCCCGUGGUGAACCUCUAAGGCGAACGUUUCUGAUUUGAUACACAUUCCUACGGGAUGCGAUGGGAUGCGACGGAGAACACUGCCAGAGGGUGUGGCCCGCCGUGGUCUUCGACUUAUCUUUGACUGUGAAAAUGAAAAUCAGGGACCCAGGUAUCCAGCCAUGGCAAAACCUCUUUUUCCCUCCAUCCCUUCCUCCCGAAGGAGAAAAGCCCGAUCUCAUCCCUUCCUCCCGAGGGAGAAAAGCCCGAUCUCAUCCCUUCCUCCCGAGGGAGAAAAGCCCGAUCUCAUCCCUUCCUCCCGAGGGAGAAAAGCCCGAUCUCAUCCCUUCCUUCCUUCCUGCUGCCAUCCUCCUACGCCUCUUUUCUCCACUUUUCUAUGGAUCUGUGUCACUGUAGACUGACCAAACCUUCUGCUCUGUUUUAUAUUCCAGUUGUCUGUACUGCCCCAGGCUGUAGCAGCAACAUACGUACAGGUCCCUCCGCUUGAUCCGCUUUGACUAAUUCACAAGCAAACAGUGUUAGAUAUCAAUAGAACAUUUUAGUCCCGCCGGUGCCAAAACCGCAUAGCUAUAUGGGGCUGUUUGGAAUAUUUCAUACAGCUAUCUUGUGUAGCUGAACAUUAAACUAUGAUGAAAUAGUGGACUUGGUUAUUGAAACUUAGUUGAAAGUGCAAUAUGUGUGUUAUCUGAAACAUAGGUGUUCAGCUAGCUGGUGAAUGGUUAAAACAAUCCCUGUUUCCUAGGACUGAAGGGGGUAUUUCACAAAGCUGGUAUGGCAAUGUUGUCGCCAGCCGCCAAUGUACUUAACGCGACAUGGUCCAAAAAUCGCUGUUUACUCCCGCUUUGGAAUGCAAAUAGGCCCACUGCAGAUUCCACAUUCCCAAUGUGUUUUCUGGGUGUUUUUUACUCCGUAAACUAUAUUCUUUGUUUGUUCCUUUUAUUUUCUUGCCUCUUUGCCGCCUCUGUUGUGCAUUUGUGAGUGUGUUAUCUUGUCUCUGGAGCAUGGGGAUGGGCAGGGUUUAUAUAUUACUACUCUAUAUAGGGUUGGGAAAUUCUUUCUUUUUCACAAAAUUCCCAGGUUUUCCAGACAUCCCGGUUGGAAGAUUCCUGGAAUUAGGAGGGAAGGAAAUACAGGAAUUUUCCAACUGGGAUUUCUGGAAAACCAUGGAAUUUGGGGGGGGGAAACGUUAUCCUUGUUGUGUAUGAAAAUAGUGGUGCAAACAAUGUACAAUACAUGUUUGCAUAUAUCGCAAUCAGUACAAUCAAACGAUACAUGUGGUACAAUCAAUGUGGUGUCAGGUAAACAUAAUGGGUAUAAAUGAUACAGUCCAGAAGUAAUGAGCCAUUUUACCAUCAUCUGUUGUUUCUGCUCCGACUUCAAAGCUUAAACGAGUGUUUACUGUCGGAUCUUAGGGUAAUGUACCUGUCCAACUCGACCACCAGCUUUGAGAAAUGACCCUCUGGACUUCCACUACACUAGUACACAUAGUGUUGUAACGUCAUAGGUGACUUGUGUCGUUCUGCAUUCUAGUGUUUCCUCGGUUCUCAGUAGCAUUCCUGUAGACGUGUGGCUCCACUGUACGAUGGAACAACAAUAAAAACUCAACACUGGUGUUUUAGCCCUUUAUCCGGACUGGACUUUACUAGCCAGUGGCUUUGGGACUAGAAUUGACAAUGUGCGAGGGCCAGCCUUACAGGAGGACAGUGGAUGUAUCUCAACUGUCCUGAGUUGCCUCCUUUCCUUCAUCUGUCCUAGGUUGAAGACACCCAGGUUACGACAACCUAAUAAUUCCAUGAGGAAGCUUUUGAAAAAUCAACAGAUUCAUGGGACCAGUGCUGUUGCUAACUAGCAUCCCUGAUCCCUUCGUUUACAAUUCUUCCUCAUCUAUGCAACGACAUAUGGAAUAUUAUAAAUAUUUUGUCUUAACCUUUAUCUCCAACCUAGCAUCUGUACUAAACUUUAGGAUGAGAAGGAGAAAAAGAGACCAGGAAAUACAUGAGAGCUUAUUGUGUUAUUCAAAUCCAUUAACUUGAGUUCUAUUUGGCUUCUGCUGCAGAUCAGAGCCAUAUAUUUAGAUAUCAGAGCCAUUGUAUUGAAAUAUAA